GGCUCAGAAUCAACGCUGGCGGCGCGCCUAACACAUGCAAGUCGAACGGGAAAGUGGAGCAAUCCAUGAGUACAGUGGCGUACGGGUGAGUAACACGUGGGUAAUCUACCUCUUAGUGGGGAAUAACCCUGGGAAACCGGGGCUAAUACCGCAUAAGCCUGAGAAGGGAAAGUCGCAAGACGCUGAGAGAGGAGCCCGCGGCCGAUUAGCUAGUUGGCAGGGUAAGAGCCUACCAAGGCGAAGAUCGGUAGCCGGCCUGAGAGGGCACACGGCCACACUGGCACUGAAACACGGGCCAGACUCCUACGGGAGGCAGCAGUGGGGAAUCUUGCACAAUGGGGGAAACCCUGAUGCAGCGACGCCGCGUGAGCGAUGAAGUCCUUCGGGGCGUAAAGCUCUUUCGGCAGGGAAGAUUAUGACGGUACCUGCAGAAGCAGCUGCGGCUAACUACGUGCCAGCAGCCGCGGUAAUACGUAGGCAGCAAGCGUUGUUCGGAGUUACUGGGCGUAAAGGGUGUGUAGGCGGUUGUUUAAGUUUGGUGUGAAAUCUCCCGGCUCAACUGGGAGGGUGCGCCGAAUACUGAAUGACUAGAGUGCGGGAGAGGAGAGUGGAAUUCCUGGUGUAGCGGUGAAAUGCGUAGAUAUCAGGAGGAACACCGGCGGUGUAGACGGCUCUCUGGACCGCGACUGACGCUGAGACACGAAAGCGUGGGUAGCAAACAGGAUUAGAUACCCUGGUAGUCCACGCCCUAAACGAUGCAUAUUUGGUGUGGGUCAUUCAGUUGAUCCGUGCCGGAGCUAACGCGUUAAAUAUGCCGCCUGGGGAGUACAGUCGCAAGGCUGAAACUCAAAG
RNAcentral lists this ribosomal RNA (852 nucleotides) under uncultured bacterium. RNAcentral's name for it is "bacterial SSU rRNA". It matches the Rfam family "Bacterial small subunit ribosomal RNA", at positions 21 to 906 of the family's 1533-position model. The record is from RNAcentral.